This 1075-nucleotide ribosomal RNA is filed under the name uncultured organism. Its description in RNAcentral is "bacterial SSU rRNA". It matches the Rfam family "Bacterial small subunit ribosomal RNA", at positions 255 to 1334 of the family's 1533-position model. The record is from RNAcentral.
GGGUAACGGCCCACCAAGGCGACAACGGGUAGCUGGUCUGAGAGGAUGGUCAGCCACACUGGAACUGAGACACGGUCCAGACACCUACGGGUGGCAGCAGUCGAGAAUCAUUCGCAAUGGGGGAAACCCUGACGAUGCGACGCCGCGUGGAGGAUGAAGGCCUUAGGGUUGUAAACUCCUGUCAAGAGGGAAUAAGCAAGUGAAGGUACCUCUAGAGGAAGGGGCGGCUAAUUCCGUGCCAGCAGCCGCGGUAACACGGAAGCCCCGAGCGUUGUUCGGAUUCAUUGGGCGUAAAGGGUGCGUAGGCGGCGCGGAAAGUCCGGCGUGAAAGGCAGGGGCUCAACCUCUGGACUGCGUUGGAUACUUCCGUGCUUGAGGACUGGAGGGGAGACUGGAAUUCACGGUGUAGCAGUGAAAUGCGUAGAUAUCGUGAGGAAGACCGGUGGCGAAGGCGAGUCUCUGGACAGAUCCUGACGCUGAGGCACGAAGGCUGGGGGAGCGAACAGGAUUAGAUACCCUGGUAGUCCCAGCAGUAAACGAUGCGAGCUUGAUGUGGGGGGAUUCGACCCCUUCCGUGUCGAAGCUAACGCGAUAAGCUCACCGCCUGAGGAGUACGGCCGCAAGGCUAAAACUCAAAGAAAUUGACGGGGACCCGCACAAGCGGUGGAGUAUGUGGCUUAAUUCGAUGCAACGCGAAGAACCUUACCUGGCCUUGACAUGCAUUGUGUCGUCGGUGAAAGCCGGCUAGUCCUGGAAACAGGACGCUUUGCACAGGUGCUGCAUGGCUGUCGUCAGCUCGUGUCGUGAGAUGUUGGGUUAAGUCCCGCAACGAGCGCAACCCUUGUGGUCAGUUACUAACCGGCUUAGCCGGAGGACUCUGGCCAGACUGCCCUGUCAAACGGGGAGGAAGGUGGGGACGACGUCAAGUCAGUAUGGCCCUUAUGGCCAGGGCUGCACACGUACUACAAUGCCCGGUACAAUGUGAACCGAAACCGCGAGGUGGAGGAAAUCGCUCUUGAAAACCGGGCCCAGUUCGGAUUGGAGUCUGCAACUCGACUCCAUGAAGUCGGAAUCG